AUGUACCUCUACCAGAGCAGUUCACCUUGGAGACCAGGCAACUCCUGGAGAUGGUCACAGUCUGGGCUUCCUGCACCUUCCCAAGAUUUUGAGAACAUUUUAACUGGAGCAUUCAGUGCUGGGCUAUUCCAUCUGGGCCACAGCUGCAAGAGCAAGUCUGCAUUCCUGCAAGAGGAAGAGUUAAACCAGGCUUCAUCUCACAGCUCCAGAGAAAACACACACCCUGCUGGAUGGGCAUCCUUCCCCAUGAGCAAGGUAAAGGUGUGUUAA
Molecule: long non-coding RNA, 270 nt
Filed under: Cyanistes caeruleus (blue tit)
Lineage: Eukaryota; Metazoa; Chordata; Aves; Passeriformes; Paridae
Description: lncRNA (ENSCCEG00000008189.1)
Source: RNAcentral